RNAcentral lists this ribosomal RNA (458 nucleotides) under Lactobacillus sp. RNAcentral describes it as "bacterial SSU rRNA". It matches the Rfam family "Bacterial small subunit ribosomal RNA", at positions 40 to 452 of the family's 1533-position model. The record is from RNAcentral. Lineage: Bacteria; Bacillati; Bacillota; Bacilli; Lactobacillales; Lactobacillaceae.
CGGCGUGCCUAAUACAUGCAAGUCCGACGAACGAACUCUGGUAUUGAUUGGUGCUUGCAUCAUGAUUUACAUUUGAGUGAGUGGCGAACUGGUGAGUAACACGUGGGAAACCUGCCCAGAAGCGGGGGAUAACACCUGGAAACAGAUGCUAAUACCGCAUAACAACUUGGACCGCAUGGUCCGAGUUUGAAAGAUGGCUUCGGCUAUCACUUUUGGAUGGUCCCGCGNGCGUAUUAGCUAGAUGGUGGGGUAACGGCUCACCAUGGCAAUGAUACGUAGCCGACCUGAGAGGGUAAUCGGCCACAUUGGGACUGAGACACGGCCCACGCGUGUGGUUUUAACUCCUACGGGAGGCAGCAGUAGGGAAUCUUCCACAAUGGACGAAAGUCUGAUGGAGCAACGCCGCGUGAGUGAAGAAGGGUUUCGGCUCGUAAAACUCUGUUGUUAAAGAAGAACAU